This 465-nucleotide ribosomal RNA is filed under the name uncultured bacterium. RNAcentral's name for it is "partial 16S ribosomal RNA". It matches the Rfam family "Bacterial small subunit ribosomal RNA", at positions 28 to 507 of the family's 1533-position model. The record is from RNAcentral.
GACGAACGCUGGCUGCGUGCUUAACACAUGCAAGUCGAACGGAAAGGCCCUGCUUGCAGGGUACUCGAGUGGCGAACGGGUGAGUAACACGUGGGUGAUCUGCCCUGCACUUCGGGAUAAGCCUGGGAAACUGGGUCUAAUACCGGAUAGGAGCCAUUUUUAGUGUGAUGGUUGGAAAGUUUUUUCGGUGUAGGAUGAGCUCGCGGCCUAUCAGCUUGUUGGUGGGGUAAUGGCCUACCAAGGCGGCGACGGGUAGCCGGCCUGAGAGGGUGGACGGCCACAUUGGGACUGGGAUACGGCCCAGACUCCUACGGGAGGCAGCAGUGGGGAAUAUUGCACAAUGGGCGCAAGCCUGAUGCAGCGACGCCGCGUGGGGGAUGACGGCCUUCGGGUUGUAAACUCCUUUCGCUAGGGACGAAGCUUUUUGUGACGGUACCUAGAUAAGAAGCACCGGCUAACUACGUG